This 449-nucleotide ribosomal RNA is filed under the name uncultured bacterium. RNAcentral's name for it is "bacterial SSU rRNA". It matches the Rfam family "Bacterial small subunit ribosomal RNA", at positions 355 to 796 of the family's 1533-position model. The record is from RNAcentral.
UGGGGAAUAUUGGACAAUGGGGGGAACCCUGAUCCAGCAAUGCCGCGUGUGUGAAGAAGGCCUGAGGGUUGUAAAGCACUUUCAGUGGGGAGGAGGUUUAUUGGGUUAAGAGCUAGAUAGAUGGACGUUACCCACAGAAGAAGCACCGGCUAACUCCGUGCCAGCAGCCGCGGUAAUACGGAGGGUGCAAGCGUUAAUCGGAAUUACUGGGCGUAAAGGGUGCGUAGGUUGUUUUUUAAGUUAUCUGUAAAAUCCCUGGGCUCAACCUGGGCAAGUCAGAUAAGACUGAGAGACUCGAGUAUAGGAGAGGGUAGUGGAAUUUCCGGUGUAGCGGUGAAAUGCGUAGAGAUCGGAAGGAACACCAGUGGCGAAGGCGGCUACCUGGCCUAAUACUGACACUGAGGCACGAAAGCGUGGGGAGCAAACAGGAUUAGAUACCCCCGUAGUCC